ACUGCUCUUUCCAUUUUUAAUUCCCACUUCCUAAACCUAAUUCCAUCUUUCUUACUUCUCUUUCCCUUAGAGAGAGACCACCACCCCUCUUUUAUUCUCUCCACCGCACCUCCGCCACUUCUCCAGAAAACCACCAGCAAUCAGGAGACCCCGCCUCCCUCUCCAUCUCUCCUUCCUCUUACCGUCUCCCUUUCCGGUCGGUUAAGACCUCGCAAGGCAGUCGUACCCCCUUCCCCUCACUCGUUCCCUCUCUUUUGUCUCCGUCCUCUUCUCGUUCUCUCCGGUGCGAAAUGGCCUGUGGCAAGAACAUGCAAACAUAUAGCUGCCGCUCCAGUCAUCUUUGACCACCCAUAUCAACGCCGCCUCCCUCAUAUCUUUCUCCUCUCUGUCGAGGUUGACAGGAAGCAUGCAACAGGAGCAUUGUUGCUCCACUAGCUAACUUGGGCAAGACAAAAGACAAAGCAAUUUCGACUUGGGUUUAGACGGAUCUGUAACAGAUCUAUCCAGGAAUCGGUGUUGCCCCACACUCUCCUCCUUAUGGCUAGAUUGAUCGUCGGAAGCUACUACUAGUGUCAUAAUGGCCUCCCCAAGUUUUGCUAACACCCAGAUGGUUGUAGGAGUAAGCCACAAGCUAAGAGAUUGGUGGAAAGAAAUAAAAAAAGACCGUGAAUUGGAGUUUCACAGCUUAUUAGGUGGCCUCACCUACCUCAGCCUCGUAAUUCCAGAUUGCUACUUGAUUAAAGCAUUGUUAAAGUUUUGGGAACCUGCAAGGACAGUUUUUAAGUUUCGUGAUUUCGAGUUAACGCCAACACUAGAAGAAAUUGGUGGAUUCCUUAACUUGUCCUAUCAGAAACACGAUAUGAUUAUACCUCAUAAAAAUCACCAAAGAAAUUCCUAAAUACUCUAGGGUUGAAAUACAAUCCAAAUUUAGCUUGUUUAGAUUUUCAAUGGAUAUCUCUAAAUUUUUUGUAUUCAUGUUUUGGUCGUAGAGAUGGUCACAAAGUGUUCAAUCAAGAAUUUGCAUUCUCAGCUAAAAAAUGGAAAAGAAAUAGUCUAAAUGCUUUUGCUAUUGCAUUAUUGGAUUGUUUGUUUUUUCCCAGAGAAAGGGGGAAGAUAGACACCUCUUGAGUUUUGUGGUUCGUGCUUUAUCUAGGGGGAUGGACAAUAAUAGGGUAACCCUAGUGCCUAUGAUAUUGAUAGAGAUGAUGAGAAGUUUGUCAGCAUGUGUCAGAGGUAGAAUAUUUUUUGAAGGGUGUAACUUUUUAUUGCAACUAUGGGCAGUCGAGCACUUUUAUAAAAGGUGCAAUUUGAUAGAUUUUUUGAAUGGUAUGGGCAAUAGAAUUGCUAUUCACCCAACAAGAAUGACAGAUUUUCUUGCCCCAGUUGGUACAGAAGACUGGUUUGCAUUUCUAAAGGAACUCUCUGGCUGCCACAUUCAAUAGAAAUAAUUUUGGUUGAACAAUCGUCAUGACAUAGUAAGAGAUGAUGAGCUUUACUUUAUUGAGCUUAUUGGUCUAAAGGGCGUUCAACCAUAUGCUCCUCUUUAAGUACUCUGCCAAUUUAGGAAGAAUCAAAUGAUACUAUUGCAAUCCAACAUGGGUAACUAUGAGUAUCAUUUUGGAUAAGAUUUUCCACAUAUCCACAACAUACUGCGAAGGUGGGAGAGAGUAAUAACCAUUGACAUUCACGUGCAACAACCCUUCUGUACGAAUACUACGUGUGGAUCUUAGAGGAUGCUGAAGACAGAGAUUUGAGUGAAGAGGCCCCCCCUGGAUUUGCUGACGAAAGAGAGAGAAUCUGGGCACACAAUUUGUUGAACUAUCAAUAUGAUGGUACCCCAGAGAUGCAAGAGAAGAUUGUGCCCAACUGAAGACCAGAGUUUUUGAAGUUUUUUUCCUAGGAUUAUUUCCCUUAUCCCUUUCCUUAGUGUUAUGUUUUUUCUUAUUUUCAUUUCCUUCAAUGAUGUACUAGUUCAAAUUUAUCAAUGAAUUAAAUAGUUUACUUUUCAUA
Molecule: long non-coding RNA, 2010 nt
Organism: Solanum dulcamara
Lineage: Eukaryota; Viridiplantae; Streptophyta; Magnoliopsida; Solanales; Solanaceae
Exons: 3
Source: RefSeq, a predicted model, not a curated record